GCGCUACACUGAUGCAUUCAACAAGCCUAUCCCUAGCCGAAAGGCUCGGGUAAUCUUUGAAACUGCAUCGUGAUGGGGAUAGAUUAUUGCAAUUAUUAGUCUUCAACGAGGAAUGCCUAGUAAGCGCAAUUCAUCAGAUUGCGUUGAUUACGUCCCUGCCCUUUGUACACACCGCCCGUCGCUCCUACCGAUUGGGUGUGCUGGUGAAGUGUUCGGAUUGGCAAUUGAAGGUGGCAACACCAUUGAUUGCCGAGAAGUUCAUUAAACCCUCCCACCUAGAGGAAGGAGAAGUCGUAACAAGGUUUCCGUAGGUGAACCUGCGGAAGGAUCAUUGAAUAUGCAAACCACAACACGCACUCUUUUAUCUGUGUACCGACGUUAGGUCAAACCCUCACCGGUUUGGCCUACUUACCUACACACACACCAUUGACCAACCACUGAUCAAACCAAACUCUUAAGUUUCGGCUGCUGUUAAUCGGCAGUUUUAACGAAAACAACUCUCAACAACGGAUAUCUUGGCUCUCGCAACGAUGAAGAACGCAGCGAAAUGCGAUACGUAGUGUGAAUUGCAGAAUUCCGUGAACCAUCGAAUCUUUGAACGCAUAUUGCGCUCGACUCCUCGGAGAAGAGCAUGUCUGCCUCAGCGUCGGUUUACACCCUCACCCCUCUCCCUCUUCGGAGGGAGCAUGUCGUGCUUGCUAAAGCCGGCAUCAGGGGUGGAUCUGGCCCUCCCAAUCGGACUCACAUCUGGUUGGGUUGGCUGAAGCACAGAGGCUUAAACUGGGACCCGAUUCGGGCUCAACUGGAUAGGUAGCAACACCCUUGUGGUGCCUACACGAAGUUGUGUCUGAGGACCUGGUUAGGAGCCAAGCAGGAAACGUGCCUUUGGCACGUAUCUCUGUAUUCGACCUGAGCUCAGGCAAGGCUACCCGCUGAACUUAAGCAUAUCACUAAGCGGAGGAAAAGAAACUAACAAGGAUGCGCUUAGUAACGGCGAGCGAACCGCGCAAAGCCCAACUUGAAAAUCUCCCUCGGAGAAUUGUAGUCUAUAGAAGUACCCUCUGCAACUGGCCGAGCUAAAGUCUCCUGGAAAGGGGCGUCAGAGAGGGUGAGAACCCCGUAAGCUCGUGCUUAGUUGCCUCACGAGGUGCUUUCGAAGAGUCGGGUUGCUUGGGAAUGCAGCCCAAAUU
Molecule: ribosomal RNA, 1190 nt
Rfam family: Eukaryotic small subunit ribosomal RNA (bases 1-334)